CAAACUGGUUGCAAGUGGCAUCGUGGCAGCUGCACGCUUGACUUUUCUCAGUUCAUGGGCAGUUAUUUUGCGCCUUGGUUUUUCCACACGCUUCUUGCGACCCUGUUGACUAUUUUGAAUGAAACGCUUGAUUGUUCGAUGAUCACGCUUCAGAAGCUUUGCAAUUUUAAGAGUGCUGCAUCCCUCUGCAAGAUAUCUCACUAUUUUUGACUUUUCUGAGCCUGUCAAGUCCUUCUUUGACCCAUUUUGCCAAAGGAAAGGAAGUUGCCUAAUAAUUAUGCACACCUGAUAUAGGGUGUUGAUGUCAUUAGACCACACCCCUUCUCAUUACAGAGAUGCCCAUCACCUAAUAUGCUUAAUUGGUAGUAGGCUUUCGAGCCUAUACAGCUUGGAGUAAGACAACAUGCAUAAAGAGGAUGAUGUGGUCAAAAUACUCAUUUGCCUAAUAAUUCUGCACUCCCUGUAUAUGUUAAU
Pelobates cultripes (western spadefoot toad) is the source of this 474-nucleotide non-coding RNA. Lineage: Eukaryota; Metazoa; Chordata; Amphibia; Anura; Pelobatidae. The record is from the annotation of a GenBank genome assembly.